AACGAAUUAGCAAGAUUACAAAAUCAAAUUCUUUACAAAGCACAUAGCAAAUGCGAUACUAAGGAUAGUUUAGAGACAAGGUUCACGCACAUGAUUUGUGGCAGAAAAUGGCAAAUGCUUGGACCUGGAUUUUUCUUUCCCAAAUUAGUCCUACUGAAAUACUUUGCUUCUCAUGAAUUCCAUUGGGUUUUCAAUGAUCAUGACAAUUCAAUUUCACAUUCGGUAUAGUAAGAGCAGGAAUCAUGCUCAAAUGCAACAAUUGAGCAAAAACUUAAUAGGUUUAUAUAAAAUUAAAUGAUUUGGAUCAUGACUAGCAUCUGGCAUACACCCAGUGUACGGCUCUUCUACAAUUCCCAACAAAAGAAAAUUCGUUUUGAUCAACCACAAAGAGCUCUGCUCUCAAGCACAGACGUCAUAGCAGCCUCAAGUUCCUGCUUUGAAAGAAGCCUGGUGAAGUGAACGUAUCCUGCCAUGUGAGAUCCAUCAACUGCCUCCAAGUUUAUUGGUUUCACUGAGAAAUGGGAUUCAAGAGCCUUCAGGAUUCUCUCUAUGAAAACUGAUCUUGGCAUAUAUUCCUUCAUUCGACAGACAAAUUCAGCGUGGUUUCUUGCCUACAGAGUACAACAUUAAUGUAAACUUUAUACACCAGCCCAAGCAAUUAUAAUGAUAAGGGCAACGAUGUGCUGCAGUUCAUGCUUUUGGUGGCCAUAGCUGAAAAACUAAAUGAAAACAAUAUCAAAAGCAUCAUGAAGGAAAGAUGAUGGUCUAUUAAACACAGUUAUUGCCCUCUCAUUGCUGCUUCCACAAAAUGUUCUGUGUUACACCAGAUUGCAAAAACAACAUUAUUAUGUUUUGAAAUUAUUGCUUAGGCCCAGUCCACUAUGGACCCAUAUAUUUAAUAGGUAUGUCCACAUCUUAGAUCCAUAGCAGACUGAUUCUAGGUAAGAAAAAUACUAUUAUGUUAUCAUGCACCACUAGGGAAGGAGCAUCGUUGUUGUUAAAAUUGCAAAAUAUCUAAUGCGUGCUACAAUCAAGUCUAGAGAGCUAGUUCAUCAUGUACGCAUGCAAAGAUUCUUAUAGAUAAAAUAGUCCAGAACAUCAACAUGAGAAUUCAUAAUGGAAUGCUUAUGCAAAGAUCCACAAUGACAUGAACAAUAAAAAUUUUACCCAGCAUUACAAUCUUUUCAUUACUUUUUUCAAAUUUUAGUAAUUGCCACUUCUAAUGUUGUAGGGAUCAGCAAUGAAAACAAAUGUAAUAAUUUAAUUCAACAUUAACAAAUCAAAAUUGUAAAUGAUUCACUAAAAAAGGAAAAAAUUAUAACGCUUCAGAAAAAGAUAAUGGAUGAGGAAACAAAACAAAAUAAGAACCUACAGAUCUGUACUUAGGAGCCCGAGCAGGCAGCUUCAAGUAUGCCAUGUUCCUACUGUCAUAAUCCCAUAAAAAGGAGGUGUGGUGUAUCCAUCGACUUUUGAUUAUAGAUUGAGCAUUUCCACCAAAUUUGUGAUCACCAAACACGUAAUCAUUCUCACGCAGUUGGAAACCAUCAAUCCCUUGAAACACUUCACUGUACAACAGACCACUCCAAGACAUGAUUGAACGAGGAUAUGGUUGCACUCCAGGAACAACAUCCUUGUUGCAUAUGAGAGUGACAAAAAUAGUCCCGCUAUCAACAAUAACAGUGCCACCCCCACUAAACCUUUUGAUGACAGGAACAUGAUCUCGCAACACAGGUCCAAUCUCAAUAAGUUCAGAAGGCUUCCCGGAGAUUCCCAUGACUAUAGCAGGGGCAUUUGUUCCAUCAUUAACAAUACACCAAUUAUCUGAAGAGGUACGGAGCAGCUUUUCCUCCAAAUGAAGUUGCUCCAAUAUGGGUAAUCCUUUGAAUCGGACAAGAUUCAUAAAUGGAAGCCCCACUUUUGUUGCUUGACGUAACAUGGUCAUUAAGCAGGACAAUUGGAUCAGGCACUUCCCCCUCUGCUUCAAAAAUUCACUAGUAAGCAAGAAACUCAUCAACUAUUAUCAUUAGUGGUAAAAACCAAUGAGUACCUAAAUAAAAGAGUCUUAAUUACUCUCAGAUGAUAAAUUACAGUGCAUGACUAUAGCUCAUAUAAUGUUAAUGAAAAUAUAUAUGUUUUCUAACUCCGUAACGAUACUAAUGAAUAUUAAAAGUGAAUUCGAACUAAAAGUUUUCAGAUUGAGAGUGACUAAUUACUAUCGAUGCGACAUGAAGCUACCACCUACACGGGUUGGCGACGCCGGAUAUGGAUGUCCUGACGACCUGCCAAAGGGCCAAUGCGCUGCAACGUCAGGGUUUUAACCGGAUUGGGAGUGGAAAAAUCGCGUCCUUUACUUUCCAAGAUACUUUCUCUCUCUUGUUUUCCGGCGUGAAUAUCAACUAUAAUUGGCGGCGAGCUCGGUUAGAACAGUUGGGUGUUGGCUUUUCUGGUUUGAACGAUUUUCCCACGAUACAAAGCUUGCUAGAGCUUUUCCAGCUUAAGAGGAAAUGAAUGGGUACUGUCACCGAG
This 2526-nucleotide unclassified non-coding RNA is filed under the name Hevea brasiliensis (rubber tree). The record is from RNAcentral. Lineage: Eukaryota; Viridiplantae; Streptophyta; Magnoliopsida; Malpighiales; Euphorbiaceae.